AGGGUUUGUAUGUCGUGUGGACAAUUUCUGCCUGUAUUAAUGUCAUUAGUUUGUCGUGGAUUGCUGAAAGGUGUAAAAAUCAGGCGGUUGUAAAAAUCAAAAACAUAUUUUCGGAUGUCAUGGUUAAACACAGUUGCGACGUAAAAAUUAAGAAAGAGAUAGUUGCUUUUAAUAUCCAGUUGCUACAAACCGAUUUUAAAAUAACAGCGGGAGUUAACGAGCUUGGAGCUUCUUUCGUUUAUACGUAUUUAGGAACUAUAAUUACGUACAUAUUCAUUUUGUUGCAGUUUGCUGGAUUUUUCAUUAAAUUAUAAGUUUAUUACAGUGAGUGCGUGUC
Molecule: long non-coding RNA, 337 nt
Organism: Zophobas morio
Lineage: Eukaryota; Metazoa; Arthropoda; Insecta; Coleoptera; Tenebrionidae
Exons: 3
Source: RefSeq, a predicted model, not a curated record